CCACUCUGUACAUGGUGUCUACCCUGUCU
Molecule: non-coding RNA, 29 nt
Filed under: Mus musculus (house mouse)
Lineage: Eukaryota; Metazoa; Chordata; Mammalia; Rodentia; Muridae
Source: RNAcentral